GGGGGCGACCUGGCUUCGACGGGGGCUGUGAAGUAGCUUGGAGCAUGCCGAGGGCGUCAUCUUCCUCGUUAAUCCGAUGGCAAACAAUCAGACGCCAACGACGACGUCUACGCUCUCGCCGCUUAAGGCGUAAGCCCCGAACCCACUUGUGCCUGUGCUCGUGGAUGUAGGGUCAUCAUCACGGGAUCGCCGUCGGUUGCCGCUGGUCGACCGAUGGCCAAAAUAAAACUGGCUGGUUCCGCGGUGCGCUUUGUCCAGCGUGCUGCUUCGGGACGAGAUCGAACGCUGGACUAAGCAUGUAGCGCCGGGCGCGGAGCGCCUUCGGACGGGGGUUCGAUUCCCCCCGCCUCCACCA
This 355-nucleotide transfer-messenger RNA is filed under the name Lysobacteraceae bacterium. It matches the Rfam family "transfer-messenger RNA". From Rfam's summary of the family: Bacterial tmRNA, also known as 10Sa RNA or SsrA, is named for its dual tRNA and mRNA-like properties. Its role is to liberate the mRNA from a stalled ribosome. To accomplish this part of the tmRNA is used as a reading frame that ends in a translation stop signal. Lineage: Bacteria; Pseudomonadati; Pseudomonadota; Gammaproteobacteria; Lysobacterales; Lysobacteraceae. The record is from RNAcentral.